UAACUGCGAGUGAAGCGGCAAAAGCUCAAAUUUGAAAUCUGGGGCCUCACAGCCUCCGAAUUGUAAUUUCGCGAUGCGUCUUUGACGGAUGGCUCUACUUUAAGUUCCUUGGAACAGGACGUCACAGAGGGUAGAGAAUCCCGUGAUAGGUAGGGCCUGAAGCAUAUAAUACGUAUUCUACGAGUCGAGUUGUUUGGGAAUGCAGCUCAAAAUGGGUGGUAAAUUUCAUCUAAAGCUAAAUAUUGGCGAGAGACCGAUAGCGCACAAGUAGAGUGAUCGAAAGAUGAAAAGCACUUUGAAAAGAGAGUUAAAAAGUACGUGAAAUUGUUGAAAGGGAAGCGCUUGAGACCAGACUCCAUCUGUGGUGAUCAGCGGUGCUUCUGUGCCGUGCACUUGCCACUUAUGGGGCCAGCAUCGGUUCUGGCGGUGGGAUAAAGUCUUGAGGAAUGUAGCUGUCCUUGGGCAGUGUUAUAGCCUCUUGAGUAAUGCCACCAGCCGGGACCGAGGACCGCGCUUUGGCUAGGAUGCUGGC
Molecule: ribosomal RNA, 532 nt
Filed under: Geopyxis majalis
Lineage: Eukaryota; Fungi; Ascomycota; Pezizomycetes; Pezizales; Tarzettaceae
Description: eukaryotic LSU rRNA
Rfam family: Eukaryotic large subunit ribosomal RNA
Source: RNAcentral